AAGUCGUAACAAGGUUUCCGUAGGUGAACCUGCGGAAGGAUCAUUACCGAACCGCCGACACGAGCUGUUGCUGGUCUCCAAACGGGGGCAUGUGCACGCUCUGUUUGUGCAUCCACUCACACCUGUGCACCUUCUGUAGUUCUGUGGCCUGGGGGGCUCGUCCUCCUGCUGCGGUUCUGCGUCUUUACACUCACACUGUGAUAAAGUCUAAUGGAAUGCAUGCUGCGUUUGACGCAAUACAAUACAACUUUCAGCAACGGAUCUCUUGGCUCUCGCAUCGAUGAAGAACGCAGCGAAAUGCGAUAAGUAAUGUGAAUUGCAGAAUUCAGUGAAUCAUCGAAUCUUUGAACGCACCUUGCGCCCUUUGGCUAUUCCGAAGGGCAUGCCUGUUUGAGUAUCAUGAACAUCUCAACUCCUCACGGUUUGCCCGUGAUGAGCUUGGACUUUGGGGGUCUUGCUGGCCUGUGGGUCGGCUCCUCUCAAACGAAUCAGCUUGCCGGUGUUUGGUGGCGUCACAGGUGUGAUAACUAUCUACGCUUGUGGCUUCCCGCCAGGUAACCUUCAGCGAUGGGGGUUCACUGGAGCUCACAAAUGUCUCUCCUCAGCGAGGACUGCU
This 616-nucleotide ribosomal RNA is filed under the name uncultured Tomentella. RNAcentral describes it as "eukaryotic LSU rRNA". The stretch from base 246 to 400 matches the Rfam family "5.8S ribosomal RNA". Lineage: Eukaryota; Fungi; Basidiomycota; Agaricomycetes; Thelephorales; Thelephoraceae. The record is from RNAcentral.